This 468-nucleotide ribosomal RNA is filed under the name uncultured bacterium. RNAcentral's name for it is "partial 16S ribosomal RNA". It matches the Rfam family "Bacterial small subunit ribosomal RNA", at positions 28 to 507 of the family's 1533-position model. The record is from RNAcentral.
GACGAACGCUGGCGGCGUGCUUAACACAUGCAAGUCGAACGGAAAGGCCCUGCUGUUGUGGGGUGCUCGACUGGCGAACGGGUGAGUAACACGUGAGUAACCUGCCCUUGACUUUGGGCUAACGUCAAGAAACGGGGGCUAAUACCGGAUAGGAGCCUCUGCUGCAUUUUUGGGGUUGGAAAGUUUCGGCAGUUGGGGAUGGACUCGCGUCUGAUCAUCUUGUUGGUGGGGUAGUGGCUUACCAAGGCCUUUACGGGUAGCCGGCCGGAGAGGGUGACCGGCCAGACUGGGACUGAGAUACGGCCCAGCCUCCUACGGGCGGCAGCAGUGGGGAAUAUUGCACGAUGGACGGAAGACUGAUGCAGCAACGCCGCGUGCGGGAUGACGGCCUUCGGGUUGUAAACCGCUUUCGCCUGUGACGAAGCGUGAGUGACGGUAAUGGGUAAAGAAGCACCGGCUAACUACGUG